Anser cygnoides (Swan goose) is the source of this 1244-nucleotide long non-coding RNA. Lineage: Eukaryota; Metazoa; Chordata; Aves; Anseriformes; Anatidae. The record is from Ensembl.
GGUCAAGGAAGGCCAGCAUGCAGGAUGAGCUCCCUUACAGUCCCUGUCUGCCCCUUCUCCAUGGCUGCUCUGCAGCUCACCACAGGGUUAGCUGCACUCACACAUUUAACUGGUGUGCCUGGGGUUUGCCAGAUGUAAAAAUGGUGAGAGAACUCUUGCAGGUAUGUGUAGAAGGCUGCUUUGGUGGCUCUCCAACUCUUUUAAAUCCAGAGCUAAAAGACAAUUGAGGUAUUACCUAGAUGAGCUCUUUGCACCACUCUGAGGGUGCACUCGAGCCUUCCUUGAGGAUGUCUGUCUAUCUUUCAGUAUUAAUGCCUUGUUACUCCUGUGUUGCCUCUACAGACACCGAAAAGGCAGUGGAAAUCCUUACAAGAUACCAAAGCACCCUGCUGUCCCCAGAGGAACAGGAGUUAAAAGCCUCCAUCGGAAAGAUCUCGCACAUCUUCCAAAGUGAACUAUUCCAGGCUCUGCUGGAUAUCCACGAAUUCUACGACUUCACGCUGCGCUCUGCACCCCUGCAGCCUCCCGGCCCGGACGCGCGUUGCGGCACAGCCCGGCAGCAGCAUGGGGCCGGCAAGCCCGGCUCCUCAGACACCCCCAGAGAGCCCCAAAAUCUCCCCGAGGAGCCGGCCGAGGACGGUGAGCGGAGGCUGCCCGUGGCCACCUGCAGGACGCCGGGGACCCCUCCGCGGCUGGUGAGGGUGACGGCCCGCAGGACGGAGGCACCAACCAGCGUCUGCAGCCUGGUGCUGGGCUCCCGCAGCGCCCUGCCCCAGCUCUGGCACUCUCCCACCUCGCAGAUUUCCAAAUUUUUCUCCAAGAUCUUAAAUGGCAGGUCCAUUCCUCAGCAUACCAGGAGCUUUUCCCCGCUGUCUAUUUACCUGCAAACGCCGUCUGUUCGGAUGUGCAUCGUAAAUCUCAGCUUCCUCCUGGUGCGAGUACAUCGUCUGGGCUACGCAUCUGAUGCUAGUUUUAGGGACGAGUGAAGGGCAAAAUGCGCUCUGAGCCUUUUGGGAGGGAUGAAGUGGCCGUGAUGGAUGGAGUUUACCGCAGAUAUAAAAUAAUAUGAAAACGUUGUUUUCCUUGGCAUGGUUUGAAACAAUGCUUGUUUGCUAGGUCGGAUUCUUCUUCCAAAAUAUUUUAAAGAUGAAAAUGACACUGCUUCUUUUCUCACCUUUUUAAAUGUUUCCCUUCUUGUUCUAGACCACAAUAAAAUGGGUAAUGCCCCAUUUUUUCCUUACUGU